This 468-nucleotide ribosomal RNA is filed under the name uncultured bacterium. Its description in RNAcentral is "partial 16S ribosomal RNA". It matches the Rfam family "Bacterial small subunit ribosomal RNA", at positions 28 to 507 of the family's 1533-position model. The record is from RNAcentral.
GACGAACGCUGGCGGCGUGCUUAACACAUGCAAGUCGAACGGAAAGGCCCUGCUUUUGUGGGGUUCUCGAGUGGCAAACGGGUGAGUAACACGUGAGUAACCUGCCCUUGACUUUGGGAUAACUUCAGGAAACUGGGGUUAAUACCGGAUAGGAGCUCCUGCUGCAUGGUGGGGGUUGGAAAGUUUCGGCGGUUGGGGAUGGACUCGCGGCUUAUCAGCUUGUUGGUGGGGUGGUGGCUUACCAAGGCUUUGACGGGUAGCCGGCCUGAGAGGGUGACCGGCCACAUUGGGACUGAGAUACGGCCCAGACUCCUACGGGAGGCAGCAGUGGGGAAUAUUGCACAAUGGGCGGAAGCCUGAUGCAGCAACGCCGCGUGCGGGAUGACGGCCUUCGGGUUGUAAACCGCUUUCGCCUGUGACGAAGCGUGAGUGACGGUAAUGGGUAAAGAAGCACCGGCUAACUACGUG